This 696-nucleotide ribosomal RNA is filed under the name Triticum aestivum (bread wheat). RNAcentral describes it as "partial small subunit ribosomal RNA". Lineage: Eukaryota; Viridiplantae; Streptophyta; Magnoliopsida; Poales; Poaceae. The record is from RNAcentral.
AUGCUGAAAGGAAGCAACGUUCAUGCAAUAUCCUCUAUUACAUUACAAAGAAAAUGGAAACAUAAAUUUCUGCAUGACAUGGGCGGAAAGGAAGCAACAUCCAUGCAACAGCCCUUAUUAGAUUACAAAGAAAACGGAAACAUAUACUUGUGCAUAACAUGUGAACUGCAGUGCCGAACCAUUCACGACUUUAUUUUUCUGGCCUUUUCAUCUAGUAGCUCCCUAUUCCCCAAGAGCGAACACGACCGCAUCAUGAGUGUCAGACAGACCGGUGUCGGCCUUGAUGGUAACCUUAUCAGCAGAAGAGUCAUCCACACAGACCUCGACCAAAGACAUGUCCUCGAUCUUGACCCCGGUGACCUUCUUCAUCUUGCCCUUUUCCACAAAAGCGGUCACCUCAGUGUCGUAGGAGACGGUCUGGUUGAGCUUGUUGAACGUGUGCUCUUUCUUCUUCUUCUGAAGUAUCCACACAAACCCACUCUCACAGUUGUGCCCGACCUCCUCGAUGUCAUCCAUAGGAAAGAGGCCUUUCCGGAGGCCAAGCACUUCGAGAAUCUUGAUGGUCUUCUUCUUGCAGAUAUCGUUCCCCUUGUGGACCUCGGCGCCGGCACGGUGGCUCUCAACCAGCUGGGACGCCAUUUGAGCACCUUCUUAGCUGGUGCUUGUUUGCUUUGGAGUGGUUUUCUAGGUUUGUGA